Molecule: long non-coding RNA, 934 nt
Organism: Pan troglodytes (chimpanzee)
Lineage: Eukaryota; Metazoa; Chordata; Mammalia; Primates; Hominidae
Exons: 4
Source: RefSeq, a predicted model, not a curated record
GCUGUAGGCAGCCAUGGGCCUGAUCUGGCCCCUGGACUUUCACAGGGCUCAGCAGACUCUGAGGAAGGGAGGGAACCAUGAUCCCAGAGAGGCUCCAAGACAGAUUGGAAAGACCAUCCUAGGUGGGGGAGUUACAAAGGAUUCUUACAGUUUGUUUGGCUGAAAUAUGGAUCAAAAGUUUUAUGCUCUACUGGUCUAGAGGUCUUAGUUCCAGAGAAAGAAACGCUUCCACAAGGAGACACAACAACGAUUCCAUUGAACCGGAGGUUAAAACUACCACUCAGCCACUUUGGGUGCUUCAUGACGCUGAGUCAACAGGCAAAAAGGGAGUUACUCUAUAGGCUGGGGUGAUUUACCUGACUGCCAUUGGGGAAAUUGGACUACUACUCUGCAAUAGAGGUUGUCCAGAUCAGCUCGUCCGACAGUUUCAUGUGAUCACAGUUAUCCACAGCCCCUCAUGAAGGCACAUUCUGUCCAGACGGGAAGAAACCAUUGGCCUACCAGCUUAAAAUGCCAGCAGAGUUCAGUGCAUACCUCCUUGGACAGAUACAUCUGCCCUGCACACUCAGUUGGCAGCCCUGACUCAGGCACCAUCCCCUGCAUGCAACAUGUUCACCUUGGGUACACGUGGCACUGCUCACUGUUGCUGGGGCCUGUGGAUGGAAGUCCCACCUUCCUGGUCAAUAUAAGAAGACUGGAGAGAGCUAAGAGUUGGUGGUGUUUGGGGGAGUGUGCAGCUCUCAUACAGAGGAAAGCCUUGUCUUCCCAUCCAAUGGGCAGGGGGGAAAGAGCCCUUUCUCUUCCUUAAAAUCAAAGGAGGGGACACCAAGUGACCCUUUCUUAAAAGUCCCAUUAUGCAUGUUUCCUGGAUCAAAAAAACAUUUGCCCACAUUUACAUUUCUUUUUGGAAAGUUUUAAAAACCUUUUGAAGGUG